CCUACGGGGGGCAGCAGUGAGGAAUAUUGGUCAAUGGACGAGAGUCUGAACCAGCCAAGUAGCGUGAAGGAUGACUGCCCUAUGGGUUGUAAACUUCUUUUAUAUGGGAAUAAAAUGUUCAACGUGUGGGCUUUUGUAUGUACUAUAUGAAUAAGGAUCGGCUAACUCCGUGCCAGCAGCAGCGGUAAUACGGAGGAUCCGAGCGUUAUCCGGAUUUAUUGGGUUUAAAGGGAGCGUAGGUGGAUUGUUAAGUCAGUUGUGAAAGUUUGCGGCUCAACCGUAAAAUUGCAGUUGAAACUGGCAGUCUUGAGUACAGUAGAGGUGGGCGGAAUUCGUGGUGUAGCGGUGAAAUGCUUAGAUAUCACGAAGAACUCCGAUUGCGAAGGCAGCUCACUGGACUGCAACUGACACUGAGGCUCGAAAGUGUGGGUAUCAAACAGGAUUAGAUACCCUAGUAGUC
RNAcentral lists this ribosomal RNA (460 nucleotides) under uncultured bacterium. RNAcentral's name for it is "partial 16S ribosomal RNA". It matches the Rfam family "Bacterial small subunit ribosomal RNA", at positions 338 to 795 of the family's 1533-position model. The record is from RNAcentral.